AGGAAAAAAAAUUCCUCUGUAGAAUCAACUAAAAAAAAAAAUUAAUGUCCAGUAUUUGGGAAAGAGAAUGAAUGAUAAUGCCGGAUUGAGUCAGCAACCCAGUAAAUUCAAAUUUCAACCCUACCACAUCCAACCCAUGCUGCCUUGGGCAAAUUAUUUAACUUUUCUGUGCCUUAAUUUUCUCAUGUCUGCCUACCUAAGGACUGUCGUGGGAAGAUUAAAUGCGUGUAAAACACUUAAGUCAGCGCCUUACUCUUAACACACUCUUAAUUGUUAUUAAUACGAGAAGGGUUUUUUUUGAGAAGGGAGGAAGGGGCGCAAAGUGGAAUGGUCUUUGGUACAUUUUUGCUACAGGGUGGUAAGAUUCUGAAACAGAGGAUAUAGUCACAGCGAGAACUGGAGUAAGAAGUGGUGGUGGGGGCAUCACGUUUUCCCGGUGAGUUAUCUGAGAGCCCGUCACACCUGCAGGAAGCGGAAGGCCUGAGAAGUGUCAGAGCAAGAACACACCCUCCACGGUGCAUCUGAGAAGUAGGCGGCCGUCGAAGAUUAGCGCUAACUGCUAUGAGCGCUUUUAUGACAAAUGACACAUCUUCUGGGGGAAACUCAGAGCUUGGGAGCGGCGUCAUUAGCGGGGGACGGGGGGGGGCUCCCAACAGUCCCCUCGGGGUGACCGAGGGGUCGCUGAGGAAAGAGUGACGUGAGAAGAAAAUGGCGGCGCGACCUCUAUCGUUUUGCCUUCACAGUCUUUCUCGCCACAGCCCCGGCUGGAACGGUCACUUACUGGAAACUGCGGAGAAGCAAUAUAUUUGGUCCGGCUUGACAGCCCCAACCUGACCGAGAGUGCCGGAGACCCAGCGCUGCUCGCGCCGGGAAACCCAACGUCGGACGGAGCAGGGCUGCGCACGGAUGAGACGCGGGGAACGUCAGAGCGGAAAUGUCCCACUUACGCCACAGAGUGGUGCGGGACAGAAGUGGCUCUUCCAGUUGCGCGAGACUUUGUUGGGGGCUGCGGGCACGGUGGGAGGGGAGGGCACCCGGAAGGGCGCGGGACUCAGGCUGCGGCUUUUCUGUCCGCGGCUGUACCCCUCGCGAAGCGUUUUCACGCACCUGUGAGGAACCUCACACCCUGGGCGCCAAAUGGCAAAGAUUUCCAGGGAUUUGUUUGGGAUUCCGUAGUUUUGUAGAUUUGCCAAGAUUUGAUAGUAGUACAAUAUUGAGAAUUCCCACCCAGCAAUGGGGCUUUUAUUAUUAUUAUUAUUAUUCAGUUCUUUUCUUUAGAGGCCAGUCUCCUGAUUCACUCCUGCUCUGCCAGAAGUUGGAGAAUGAGAUGGAAUAGGCCCACCUCUUCUGGCCUGAGCUCUACAGGUGGAACAGAAGGCCCUGAGUAAGGCCUAAACGCUUGACUGCUCUCUCAGGUGGAAAAGAUUAAUAAAACUACUACUCCCUUUCUCUGAGUGUGUAUAUACAAGGACUACAGAUGCUCUCAAUGAAUCUGCAAUCAAGUGAUUAAUACUGGCCCAACAUUAAUUAAAACCCU
Callithrix jacchus (white-tufted-ear marmoset) is the source of this 1537-nucleotide non-coding RNA. The record is from RefSeq and is a predicted model, not a curated record. NCBI's taxonomy places the organism in Eukaryota, Metazoa, Chordata, Mammalia, Primates, Cebidae.